AGCAGUAGCCGCGGGAAUACGAAGGGUGCAAGCGUUACUCGGAAUUACUGGGCGUAAAGCGUGCGUAGGUGGUGGUUUAAGUCCGUUGUGAAAGCCCUGGGCUCAACCUGGGAAUUGCAGUGGAUACUGGGUCACUAGAGUGUGGUGGAGGAUAGUGGAAUUUCCGGUGUAGCAGUGAAAUGCGUAGAGAUCGGAAGGAACAUCUGUGGCGAAGGCGACUAUCUGGGCCAACACUGACACUGAGGCACGAAAGCGUGGGGAGCAAACAGGAUUAGAUACCCCCGUAGUCCCUGUCUCUUAUAA
RNAcentral lists this ribosomal RNA (303 nucleotides) under uncultured bacterium. RNAcentral describes it as "partial 16S ribosomal RNA". It matches the Rfam family "Bacterial small subunit ribosomal RNA", at positions 507 to 809 of the family's 1533-position model. The record is from RNAcentral.